GGAUGAAGAACGCAGCGAAAUGCGAUACUUGGUGUGAAUUGCAGAAUCCCGUGAACCAUCGAGUCUUUGAACGCAAGUUGCGCCCGAAGCCAUUAGGCCGAGGGCACGCCUGCCUGGGCGUCACACGUCGUUGCCCCCCCAUCUACUCCUUCGGGAUUGCGGGGGGCGGAUGAUGGCCUCCCGUGCGCCUCGUCGCGCGGUUGGCAUAAAUGCCAAGUCCUCGGCGACGCACGCCACGACAAUCGGUGGUUGCGAAACCUCGGUUGCCCGUCGUGUGCGGUCGUCGCGCAUCGAGGGCUCGAAAAAAUUGCCGGGCUCCGUUUCGGCUUUCAACGCGACCCCAGGUCAGGCGGGGUUACCCGCUGAAUUUAAGCAUAUCAAUAAGCGGAGGA
This 392-nucleotide unclassified non-coding RNA is filed under the name soil metagenome. Its description in RNAcentral is "partial contains 5.8S ribosomal RNA, internal transcribed spacer 2, and large subunit ribosomal RNA". The stretch from base 2 to 123 matches the Rfam family "5.8S ribosomal RNA", at positions 35 to 154 of the family's 154-position model. The record is from RNAcentral.